GGCGUGCCUAAUACAUGCAAGUCGAGCGGACUUAAAAAGCUUGCUUUUUAAGUUAGCGGCGGACGGGUGAGUAACACGUGGGCAACCUGCCUGUAAGACUGGGAUAACUUCGGGAAACCGGAGCUAAUACCGGAUAAUCCUUUUCUACUCAUGUAGGAAAGCUGAAAGACGGUUUACGCUGUCACUUACAGAUGGGCCCGCGGCGCAUUAGCUAGUUGGUGAGGUAACGGCUCACCAAGGCGACGAUGCGUAGCCGACCUGAGAGGGUGAUCGGCCACACUGGGACUGAGACACGGCCCAGACUCCUACGGGAGGCAGCAGUAGGGAAUCUUCCGCAAUGGACGAAAGUCUGACGGAGCAACGCCGCGUGAGUGAUGAAGGUUUUCGGAUCGUAAAACUCUGUUGUUAGGGAAGAACAAGUACGAGAGUAACUGCUCGUACCUUGACGGUACCUAACCAGAAAGACACGGCUAACUACGUGCCAGCAGCCGCGGUAAUACGUAGGUGGCAAGCGUUGUCCGGAAUUAUUGGGCGUAAAGCGCGCGCAGGCGGUCCUUUAAGUCUGAUGUGAAAGCCCACGGCUCAACCGUGGAGGGUCAUUGGAAACUGGGGGACUUGAGUGCAGAAGAGGAGAGUGGAAUUCCACGUGUAGCGGUGAAAUGCGUAGAGAUGUGGAGGAACACCAGUGGCGAAGGCGACUCUCUGGUCUGUAACUGACGCUGAGGCGCGAAAGCGUGGGGAGCGAACAGGA
Molecule: ribosomal RNA, 751 nt
Filed under: uncultured bacterium
Lineage: Bacteria
Description: bacterial SSU rRNA
Rfam family: Bacterial small subunit ribosomal RNA
Source: RNAcentral